RNAcentral lists this long non-coding RNA (2578 nucleotides) under Solanum tuberosum (potato). RNAcentral's name for it is "long non-coding RNA (STUB_LNC001455)". Lineage: Eukaryota; Viridiplantae; Streptophyta; Magnoliopsida; Solanales; Solanaceae. The record is from RNAcentral.
UCCUUGUGUGAGUGUUGAAAGCUUGGUAAGCUUUUGUUGAACAAUGUUUAGAAACGAGGGUUGCUUGGGAUACCGAUUCCCAUGAGGUCUUCGUAAAAGGUAGGUGCUAUUGUAGGAUUAACGGAUCGAGGUCAUUGGGUUGAAUAUACCCUUUGAUUGCUUUUUGUUUCCUCUUUGUGUGUCUAUCUAUUUAUCUUGACUAGGUGCUUGUUUUAGGGAUUGUAAUUGGAGAUUUUAGGAUUUAAUACAUCCUUUAGUUGCCAAUUGUUCCUCUUCUUAUGUCUCUUCUUCUAUCCUUCUUGUUUUCCGCUGUUUAUUGUGAUUCUUCUUGUGAAAAUUACAUCACUCGUCUCUACCCCUUGCUCUUCAUCUAUUCAUGCCUCUACCGUAGCCUCUUGUUGCGGAUUGCUCAACGGGCUCAUUUACGAGAGCUACAGACCUGACGUCGUUGAAACGAGUGUUAACCAUCUGCGAACAGAAGAAGGAAGAAGAUUAGAUACUAAUUUGGAUCACCGUAUAUCAAUUGGAAUCAAUUCAUAGCACGAAAAUAGUAAAAAAAAAAGAUUUACUAAAGUCCUGUAACCUCUCGAAGAAAAGUACAGAAGUCUCAGUACCGUUCUGCAAGACUCUACUAGACUCGUUUUGGUAUAAUGAGAUCAACAAACCUAGGGCUCUGAUACAAACUUUGUCACGACCCAAACCAUCGUGAUUGACACCCACACUAACCCUCCGAUGGGAGAAUCAUUACUGCAACCCCUCUAGCCAAGUUAACGAACAAAAUAGACAUUUAAAGAUAGGGAAGCAGGUUUAAAUCCAGAGAUUAUAUAGAGUUCUCAUAAACUCUAAGGGGUCGUUUGGUUUGAAUAUGAGUUAUGUUGGGAUAAGUUAUGUUGGGAUUAGUUAUGAUGGGAUAAGUUGUCGUGGGAUUAUUUCUUAUUUAGUGUUUGGUUUGUUAUAUUCACAAUAAUAUAUAUUGAUAAAUUUUAAGAACAAGUUGUUUGUUUACAAAAUUACCCUUCACUUUAUUUAAACUUUUUAAAUAUUUCUUAGUGAGCUUUAGUUAUUCAUUUUUUAAAAUAAAACUUUUAUUUUAUUUAACUUAAAUAUUUUUGUUUAUGUAUUCCCAUGAUAAGUACCAUGUGUAUUUAAAAAUAUAACUUUUUUCUUAUUUAGCUUAAAAAUAGAACUUCCCUCUUAAGUUUAUUAAAGAGAAGAAAAUUUAUGAGAAAUCAAAAUAAAAUAAACAUAAGAAUUAGUCAAAUAAAUUCAUAAAUAAAAAUUAUAUUUAUAUAGUAUAAUUUUUUAAUAGAAAAAUAUGUAUAAUUGUAAAAAAUGAUGUAUAAAAAGGAUUUAAAGGGACAUAUUUGUCAUUUACCUAUUUUAUCUCGGGAUAAGUUAUCCCGGGAUUACUAUACCACCCAUGGGGAGGGAUAACUUAUCUCGGUACUAAUUAUUAAUCCCGGGAUAAGUUAUCCCGGACUUGCCAACCAAACAACAUGAUUUUUUUUUAUCCCAUCAUUAUUUCCUUAUCCCAUCACUAUUAUUUCUAAUCCCUCACACCAAACGAGCCCUAAAGGUUUGAAUAAUUAACUAACCAAACUAAUGCGAAAGUUUAACCCCUAUAACCUGAAAGUCAUUGUACCAAAACAUCUAAAAUGCAACAAGUCUAAGAAAAAUGGGUACAACCCCAAAAAAACAUAAGAACCAUCUAAAUAGUCUAAGUCCAAAAGAAAUGGACUAAACAAUAGGAAGGACUCCAUGGCAGCCUGAAAGAACUGGCUCACCCUUGAAAUCCGGUCUCGAUCACUAAUCUCCUAGCUGAGGUCUAUCAAUAGCUGCCUGAAGAUUUCCUGCAUAACAAAGAACGAGCAAGUGCAGUAUCAGUACACAACCACAGUGUACUGGUAGGAUCACACGGUUAUUCCAGUAAGCGAAACAUAUAUAAGAAGUCACAACAUAGUAAUCAUGACAUGUACAGAAUAUAUUUAAGAAUUGGUUAUCAUUUCAGGAGAAAUGUACAAUUCCACAUUCUCAAUAACAAGCACAUAUGACAAUUCAAUGGUCCUCUCAUGCAACCUAUACCCAAACUGUUAGUGUGUCGAAAUGUGACACCUAAUCCCAAUUAAUGUGUUGGAACGUGACACCCGCUCCAAUAUAUGUGUCAGAACGUGACACUCGAUCUUAGUUAGUGAGUCGAAACAUGACACCCACUUCAUUCAACAUAACCACAAUCACAUUCACACUUAUAAUGUACAUACUCGCAAUCAUACAAUCAAGUGUUGAAUCAUGGCAGACAUUUGUUCAUUCAUACACAAUUCAUUUGGUUUGACCAAUAGUGUUUCAUUCGCAUACAUACAUGCAUUACAAUGAAGCAAUUACUAACAUACAUCACACAAACAUGAAAUCAAACCAUCACCUACCUUGAAACCAAGCUUGAAUCCCCAUAAGUCACUUGAAUCUUCCCUUUCCAGAUUCUUUCUGCUUGUUCGUGGUCUAAAAAUAAUUAAUAUAGCGCAAGGAUCAAUAAUUUAAGGUCAAAUUACCCGGAUUAUAACAACUCAAUUACCCAAGACCAAAC